AUGGCCUACUUCGAUGAGAAAGCGAAGGAAGAUCCAGAUUUCUUCUACAGGAUAAGGUUGGACGAUGAGGACCAUGUCAGGAACAUGUAUUGGGUGGAUGGUGUUGCAAGAAGAGCCUACAAACAUUUCCGAGAUUGCAUUUCAUUCGGCGCGACGUAUCUCACUAAUAUGUACAAGAUGCUGUGGGCUCCAUUCAUAGGAAUAAAUAACCACAAUCAAUCGUUGCAGUUCGGGUGCGGGCUCGUUUGAAACGAAGACACGGAUGGGUAUGUUUGGCUAUUCAACACCUUCUUGGAGUGCAUGGAUGGACUUGCUCCGAUGAACAUAAUAACAGACCAGGAUUUUAGUAUGCAUGCAGGCAUAGAGGAGGUCUUUUCGUUGGCAGUGCACAGGCACUGUAUGUGGCACAUUAUAAAGAAGGCUGAGGAGACGCUAGGACCGUUCUUUGCUGACCGUCCGGAGCUGCACAAGGCAUUCGAGCUGUGCGUGGACCACAACUUGACGGUGGAGGAGUUUGAAAGGAUUUGGAUGGCCAUGAUUAAAACAUAUCAAGUCCAAGACAAGGAGACUCUUGCUAGCCUGUGGGAGAAGCGAAUGUAUUGGGUGCCGGCCUACUUCAUGUAG
Molecule: ribosomal RNA, 624 nt
Filed under: Triticum aestivum (bread wheat)
Lineage: Eukaryota; Viridiplantae; Streptophyta; Magnoliopsida; Poales; Poaceae
Description: partial small subunit ribosomal RNA
Source: RNAcentral